Long non-coding RNA from Octopus sinensis (East Asian common octopus), 198 nucleotides. RefSeq lists it as uncharacterized. The record is from RefSeq and is a predicted model, not a curated record. NCBI's taxonomy places the organism in Eukaryota, Metazoa, Mollusca, Cephalopoda, Octopoda, Octopodidae. The transcript is spliced from 3 exons.
UAUAAAACAGUGUAUAUAUACAAUGGUCUACAGAGAAUUACAAUCACAGAGCUUAAAUCAGUGAGGGACUUGGGUAUCGACAUGAGUGAUGAUACCUCUUUCCAAGUGCACAUCACCAGGAUGGUGACAAAGUGCAGACGACUGGCUUGAUGGAUCCUAAGAACAUUCAGAACCAGAGAUAAGGAUACCAUGAUGGUC